GACGAACGCUGGCGGCGUGCUUAACACAUGCAAGUCGAACGGAAAGGCCUGCUUUCCCUUGUGGAUUGCGGGUACUCGAGUGGCGAACGGGUGAGUAACACGUGAGUGAUCUGCCCCCAACUUGGGUAUAAGCCUGGGAAACUGGGUCUAAUUCCCGAUAGGACUGCAGGGUGGUGCCUGUGGUGGAAAACGAUUUUCUAGUGGUUGGGGAUGAGCUCGCGGCCUAUCAGCUUGUUGGUGGGGUAAUGGCCUACCAAGGCGGCGACGGGUAGCCGGCCUGGGAGGGUGGACGGCCACAUUGGGACUGAGAUACGGCCCAGACUCCUACGGGAGGCAGCAGUGGGGAAUAUGACACAAUGGGCGGAAGCCUGAUGCAGCGACGCCGCGUGGGGGAUGACGGCCUUCGGGUUGUAAACUCCUUUCGACCGCGAGGAAGCCACCUGGUUGGAAGGGUGGUGACGGUAGUGGUAGAAGAAGCACCGGCUAACUACGUG
This 494-nucleotide ribosomal RNA is filed under the name uncultured bacterium. RNAcentral's name for it is "partial 16S ribosomal RNA". It matches the Rfam family "Bacterial small subunit ribosomal RNA", at positions 28 to 507 of the family's 1533-position model. The record is from RNAcentral.